Balaenoptera ricei (Rice's whale) is the source of this 9239-nucleotide long non-coding RNA. RefSeq lists it as uncharacterized. The record is from RefSeq and is a predicted model, not a curated record. The transcript has 11 exons. NCBI's taxonomy places the organism in Eukaryota, Metazoa, Chordata, Mammalia, Artiodactyla, Balaenopteridae.
AUAUAUUACAAAUACUUCUCCCGCCCUGUGGCUUGCCUUUAUGCAGGGUUUUCUAUGCACAGGGGAAAUAAUCUUGUAACUAGCUCAGGCAUAACCUUUGUCAGCUAUCUUUGCCAGAUAGAUUUUAUAAAAAUCAAAUCAUGUGAAUCUUAAAUAACAUAAUCUUUUCAUAGUGGCAUGCCUGAGUGUGGGAUUUGAGAGAAGAGGAAAUCAUGUGAGUUUUUAAAUUUUUGUCAAACUUUGUAGUUUUAUUAGAUUACUGUUUCAUUAAGACUUGGUUUGUAUUUUUCUUCUUUAGGUCUGCAUGUUUAUGGGCCGUAUAUGUAUGGUGUGGACAGUGCCAGCUGCUUACCCUGUUUUCAUUCUCCUCUCCUUUACCAACAGAGCCCUACUUUGUGCAGAGCUGCAGUGAGCACAGUAAAAACUACUUGCUUUCCUGGGACCCUUUGAAGUUAGAGUUGGUUUUGUGACAGGUUCUACCAAUAAAUAUGGAUAGAAGUCUUUUGGGUGGGACUUCCAGGAAACCUACUGCUUUUCUAAAAAAGAAAAAAAAAAAGAGAGAUAGACUUAGUUAACAAAAAUGUUGCCCUUUCUCUCUUCUUUCCUAAAAAGUGGUCAUGAUGCUUCAGUGCUUUGCAGCCAUCCUGCAGUCUUGACAGUGGGAGACCCAUGCUGAAGAUGGUGGAGUCAGUUCUUUAAUGGCAUCGUGGGGGUCAUUGUUCAAACCUUGAACCCCACUGUAUUAGGGUUCUCCAGAGAAACAGACCUACAAGGAGAUUGUAUAUAUGGAAUUGAUUCCUUUGAUUAUGGAGGCUGAGAAGUCCCAUGAUCUGCUGUCUGCAAGCAGGAGAGCCAGUGGUGUAAAUUCCAGUCUGAAUCCAAAGGCUGGAGAUCCAGGAGAGCCUCUGGCAAGUCCCACUUUGAGGGAGGGAGAGGACCAGCGUUCCAGCUCCACGGUCAGGCAGAGAGAGCAGCUUCUCCCUCACCCCACCUCUUGUUCUAUUCAGGCCCUCGACAGAUUGGAUGAGGCCCAUCCACACUGGAGAGCAAUCUUUUACUCAGUUCACCGAUUCAGAUGUUCAUCUCAUCCAGAAACACCCUCACAGACACACCCAGAGUAACGUUUAACCAGACAUCUGGGCACCCGGGUCGUGGUCAAGUUGACCCAUAAAAUUAAUCAUUACAGCUGCCUUCCUCUGGACCUCACGUUCUCUGAGGACAGUAUUGGGUAAGCUCCUGCAGUUGUGUUUCCAUAUAUUCUGUGGAAUUCAGUCCCUAAGCAAUAUACACGUUACUCAGAUUUCUCAGCUUUCAGAACCAUUGAGGCGUGUAGCAAGUGUGUCCCAGUGCCCUGAGGUCCCGUCUACCCCAACGGGAACAAGACCUGACUCUGCCACGUCCACAUCCUACUAUGAUACACGUAAGUGUAACAGUGUGUGCGGGAAUGAGCUCUGGAUAUCGGCACCAGGUCAUUUCAACUGCAGAAAAGUCAUGAACCAAACGGACGUUAAAGGCAGUUCAGAGACAGCCAGGUUUCAGAGCAGACAGAGGUCUGGCCUGUGGUGGAGAUUCUUGUCACUCCGUUGGACAGAGGCAUCUAGCUCUUGUUCUCUUGUGUUACUGCCAAAUCUCCAUUAGACUUAGAAAUGACUUUGAGAGGAAUAAACUGAAUACCUCUACGGAUGUGAAAGGUGUUUGAGAAAAUGCACGAUUGUGCUUUCAUCAUUUGGGGGGAAAGUAUCUUUUUUUUUAAAAUUUAUUUUUGGCUGUGUUGGGUCUUCGUUGCUGCACGCGGGCUUUCUCUAGUUGCAGCGAGCGGGGGCUACUCCUCGUGCGCGGGCUUCUCAUUGCGGUGGCUUUUCGUUGCAGAGCACAGGCUCUAGGCAUGUGGGCUUCAGUAGUUGUGGCAUGCGGGCUCAGUAGUUGUGGCUUGUGGGCUCUAGAGCGCAGGCUCAGUAGUUGUGGCGCACAGGCUUAGUUGCUCCGCAGCAUGUGGGAUCUUCCCGGACCAGGGCUGGAACCCGUGUCCCCUGCACUGGCAAGCGGAUUCUUAACCACUGCGCCACCAGGGAAGUCCCGGGGGAAAGUAUCUUGAUACGCUUCCACCUGUUACUACCACGGUCCCUUCUAGAACAGUAACUCACAUUACGCUAACGUGGGCCGAAAGGGUACAUGUGUUUUUUGCAAAAUUAUAAAAAAUUGUGUUUGCCUCUCCUGCAGCACCUGCCACACCCUGCUUCGGGAUGAGACCCUGCAAACCACGUUUCUCCUUUGCUGACUGGCUUUUUGUUGGGUUCUACUGAUGGUGGGGCGCACGGGAGAUGGGAACCCCGAGGAGGGAAGAAGGGGCCUGUUGCUCGAUGUUUGCCUCCUGUCCCUGGCGGUGGUGGCCCAGCCGCGGGUCGCAGCCCAGCAGUGACAGUUCAUUCUUGGAGGAGGAGGUCCUGGCUCGCAGGAUUGCCACACUUUCAUAGAACCAGCUCUGCCUCUCGAAAAUCGCAGCGCCAUCAGCCGGUGCCCCUUUCAGACCUUUGAAUCCCGGCUCCGUGAGGUCCUGCCACGUCCCGAGGCACCGGUACCAGCUGUGCAGUGUCCACGCCUCAGAGGUCUGACUCCCAGCUCCGCGGGCGCCCCCUUCAGCUUCUGGGUCUUCAGAGUCCCUUGUCUCUGUUUCCCAGCCCUAAGGGUGUGGGCUGCUUCCCUUGGUUAUCACCUCUGUCGCCUCUGCACUAUCCUGUUCACAACCCUUGAUAUUCAACCCUUUCCGUUAAAAUAAGUGGCGUGGUCUUGGCCUCCUGAUUGAACAGGCAGCUGGAUUCGCAGUUCCUGUGCGAGGGGGAAUGAGGCCAGGUCCUCUUCCGGCACCCCCAGCUCAGGUUGGCUUCCCACUGGCACGCGUGGCCUUUGCUCCUAGAUCCUGGGAUCCACCCCAAGCACGGAGAACUAAGGCGAUGGAGAAGCGGGUAUUUCACCUCCUGUGCGGGCGUGCAGUCCUGUCCUCGUGCCCCGCCUCCUCCAUUCCCACCCUGCUCGUCCUCAGUCUCUUCAAGACCUUCUGUCCACUCACUCCUCCACUCGCUGCUACUUCAUCGUCACCUUCUUGGCUUUGCUUUUCUGUGUAGUCCGUCUAGAUCCCGUUGUCACCGCUUCACUCAAUCACCAGGACCGUCUACUCUCCUGCCCUGUUGCCCUCCGGCCACACUGCACUACACAGCCCGGGACUGGCACGUUCCAUCUGUCCCCUCCCGCGCCCACCAGCAGGUGCCACUGGAGGGGGUGCACACGCCAAGUGUCCGGUGUCAGCUGGGCCCCAAGUGAUGCCUGGAGGGCAUUCUCCACCUCCUCUCCUCUCAGGGCUGUUCUCACCUGUGACUCUGCUCCAGCCCGACCCUGCCCUCCUUUCCUGUCUCACCUGGAGGGUGGCCUCACCUAUCUUUUCUCACACCGGGCUGAGUAUGGAGGCAAAGCUUCAGGUCUGUUUCCCACACUCACCACCUGUUCUUACCUUACUUGGAGGAGAAGGGGUUGCUCCUCCUGUCAUGGGCUAGAUCUUCCACUGACCAACCUUGCUUACCCAAUACUGUCCUCAUGACACAUCUCCUAAUGUGCCAUGUAAUUUGCUUUCAUUUUCUCCCUCCUUCUACUCCCAGGAGAAUAUAUAUCUUCCGAGAGCAGGGAUUUCACAUCCAUUUGGUUGACCAUGAGGUGAGAAAGAAAGUCAUCAUGGUUGAUUCCAAGGGUUUUGGCCUGAGCCCUGGAAGACUGGAAUUGCCUCUGACUCAGCUGAGGAAGGUCAUUAAUGGAGCAGGUUUGGAGGGAACGUCAGAAAUUCAGCUCUGGACGUGUUAGCACGUUAGACAUCCAUGUGGAGCUGUUGAGUGGGCUGGAGGAUUGGACCAGUUUUAGAGCUGAGGUCCAGGGUACAGGGAGAGACACAAGUGUCCUCAGCAUAAGACACUUAAAACCAUGGACAAGAUGAGAGCUACAGGAAAUGACUGUGGAUGGUAAAGAGGAGGCCUUGAACUGAGCUCUGGGACACUCCAGCGCCCAGACCUCGGGCAGAUGAAGAAAAACCAUCAAGGAGGUUGGCGGGAGGAGCCCUGACUGUGAUGAGGAAGAAAACCUGGAGGAUGUGCUGCCCUGGGUUCAGGUGGCAAGAGUGUUUCCAUGAAGGACGCCAGAGGGAUCAGCUGUGCCCAUUGCUACGGAGAGAAUUUCGUGUCUGAGCCUUUUUGAACUGGUAUUCUGGGAGUAAGGAAGGAGAGGCCUGGCUAUUUCUAGUGCUUUCUACAGCAAUCAGUUGGCCCUUUCUGUCCUACACAGAACCAGGGACCACAGGGGACAGAGACGAAGGACGACGACCUCCAGAGCCCAGACGCCCUCGGUGUUUCUUCCACGUGGCACUGCUCUGUGGGAACAGUACCCAGCCUAGCACAUACUGCACACAGACCAUCGUGACAUAUCAAGGUCGCUGAUGAUGUCGUAGGCAUAUGGGCCCUCUGGGAGCUGAUAUAUUUUUUCAACCCUGCUCUGCCUGCCAGCUAGUAGACAUCAUAACUGACUGUGAUCCUUGGAUGCAUCUCUGACGUGUUCAGCUUCUGUUUCCGUUCUCCCUGCUCCCGCAACAGUCACUCCUCCCAGGAAGUAGUUCAGCUGUCCGCUGAAUGUUCGCACGAGGCAUCUUCGUCACCAAGGGCUUGGUGGGCCUCCAGGGGGGCCCCAGCUUUCACAGUCUUUCUGGAUCGCCCUGUACGAACAAGUGGAUGAAGGCAUUCUGGAUUUCGUGAAGGUUUCUCAUCUGGCUUUUAAAAAACCCAUCAACGUUGGAAAACCCAAGGCCUUUAAAGAGAGUCCUGUGCCUGGAACCCCUGAAAUAUAUACUGGGGUUAAUACGCUUAAAGGUGGCUUCAGAAGCAAAGUAACAUCAAGGCCCUAAUUCCGGAACUGGCCCUGCCCGUCUAUCACUGUCUUCCGGUGUGGUGGCAGCCAUGGGAUCCAAAGGAGACUUCUGAUUUCAAGCUCCCUCCUUUUGGUUGAUCUGUCCGACUUUAUUCAGGACUUAGGCAAGGACAGAUUGUCCUUCUGGGACAGCUGUUGCCUUCUCAUUUGUCUCGUUUUGUGUCCUGAGAACUUGGCUUGGCGACCGUCAGGUUGGGCAGCUAUAACAGAAAUGUUAAAAAGCUUAUGCUGAACAAGAUUACAGCCUGACACUGACACCCCUCAUGACCUACUUCCUGGAGAAUCCAUCCGCUGGAAAAGACCCCAACUAAAGGACUCCUGCUUUGCUCCUUGGAAAGGAUCUUUUCUGGUACUGUUCGCCAGUUCCUGCACAGCUAAACUUGAAGGCAUCCGGCCCACCUGAAAGGAGUAACAGGACCAGAAUGAACCAGCAAAGCCACUGGUGAUCUCGCACUUAAGAUCUCCCAGCACCAGAAGCAGACGACAUCAGACAUAGACAGCUAUCCCAAGACAACAGGCCAGGCCUGUAUAACUUAACUUGAUUUCCACCACUGUUCUCUUUACUGUGGAAAUCACGAUGGGUUAUUGUUUUACUCUGAUGCUUUUGCAAAAGUGAGAUUCAUGGCAAGGAACCUACCAAGAAUUCUUGACCACCACAUGGCUGCCAUAUCACAAGGGGUCCAAACUUGGGUACAUAUUUCACAACUGAUGAAGGCUCCACCUGACUUCUGGUCCCGUGCAAAAAAGCUGGAGAUCUCAAAUCAAUCAAACCGACUAGCAAGAGAAGUAGCCACCAUCGAGACAGACUGCUUCCUCCCAAGAUGUCAGAUCAAGAACAUGUCUUUCCAUUCUUCCUUCCCUCUCUGACCAUCCUUUUCCUAAUUCUCACACUGUGAAGGUUUUUAUGAUUUCUUGCUGUCCAUCUUUUUUGCUUUGCUCUGGCUUGGAAAGAUAAUGCCAUUGGUUCACAUACCUAAGGCCGUUGCAAAGGGGGGUAAAUCUAACCUCAAAGACUGCUUGAAUUAUCACGAUGCCGGGGAUUACGCUGUUCUGUCCAUCACGAACUGCUCCCUGAUUUCCAAUGCCUCCGAUUCUCUGGACCAACCUCAGCCAGCCCACCUUUCUGUUGUGUCCCACUCCCUAACCCUGGGGAUCUGCUUCCUUGGCUCUGGUUAACACCCCGGGGAACCCUGCAUCUAGGCUCUGUACAAAGAAAGGGACACAAGGCAAGGGAAAUGAGACUAAAACCACCUGUGCUGUCUACAGACCCUUCAGGUGUACUGGCGUCCACGGCUGUCACCUUUUGGGGCCCGAGCCACAGACGGAAACAGGAAUUACCGGGAAGCAUUCAGUGGUUCAAAAUCUGCUUCCUUUGGAGCAGCCCUACUCCGCCGGCCAGGAGCUGAUGCAAAUGAGGCCACGACCAGGAAGCUCUCCUUACCUCUUGAAGAUUCCAGAAUCUGCUGGUAAAGCAACAGCUGCCCCAUGAAAAUCCCUAGACUCUCUGGCCAAAGUUGUUCUUGAUAAUAAGAGAAGCCUCUGGUUGAUUAUCCUUUAGCUGAACAAGGAGAUGUCUGUGCUGUGACCACCACCACUUGCUGCACCUGGAUCAACACUUCUGGGGAAGGUGAGACUCAGCCAUGCAAGAUUACUGAACGAACCAGUCACUUUCUUAGGCCAACAAACCAGCCAACGGGAUCUUUCCUUGGGGAUUAUUCUGCUUAUAAUAGUCACGGCAGUCGCCGUAGUGUGCUGUAUUCUCGCAAAAGCUUUAAAUGCAGCUUUGCAGCCACUAGCUACCAAGCAAAUGAUCUCCCUCAGAACAGAACGUCAGAAAAGGAACAAAGAGAAUGACCGACUGAAAGACCGUGAACCCAAUGCCGUGACCUGUGAAGACCACACAGAGAUUCAGCAAAAAAAACGAUUUGAAUUCAGUAUGUCCAAGAGUCUGCCUCCUAACAAGCUCCUGGGUGAUGGUGAGGACGGUGCUCGCCUGUGGACCACGUUCUGGAAAGCAGGGCCCUACGGCGCUUGGUAGAGUGCACGGCCGUCACUCGAGCACACUGGGAUGAAAUCGUGGGUGAUCACGUGGCUCUGGACCAACUCAGUCUGCCCUUGGCGCCUGGAGAUACAAACUGCACGAUGCUGUUCUUUUCAACAAACAUUGAACACUAAAACCCGUAAAAGCUUCUACAAGCAUCUGCACGUACGAAGAGCCUGGGAAAGUCUAAAACAUACUUUGUGGUCUUUUCUGGGAAGCAGCAGUGGGGAUAUCUAACAAACACACACCUGAUGUAAAAACAUACAUAUAAACAUCGACUUCCACAUGUAUCUAGAAAUAAGACAUGAAAAUAACGGCUUCCACACCACUCAGAUGUUUCCUUCUGGAAAUUAUGAUACAUACGGGCAAAGGCAACACAGCUGCAGCACAUCUGAGAUCACAGACUCAUGAGCAGUGAAGGGGGAAGGCUGUAAGAACGAAACAUGCCCUUACGAUACCUCUAUUCAUCAGUACUUUGGUGAGUUGGAGACUCAGACCCAUCCAUAAUGGGCGAGUUUUCUGUUGCUUCUCUGAACAAAGGAAAGCAGAAGGAAGAGAAGAGAGGUCAGGUUAAAGAGAGGGGCUGACACAGACACGAUUAGUAGCUUAUUAAUGCGUUGCAAAGCCCAGCUGACUGCACCCAAGCGCUAGUGACACAUGACACAGGCCUUGCGCAACUUUCAGCCCCCUCGCGGGCGUCAAAGACCUCUUUAGUUUUGUUAGGAAGGCAGCCAGGCUUUGGCACUUUUGACCCAUUUCUUAUUUUCUUAUCACAUCACAGAGAACAGUUAUUGUUCAUUAAUGAUAAUUCAACUCAAUCCAAUAAAAGUUUAAGGACCAGAAUUCCUUUUUGUUUCAAAUUGGUCUCGAAUCCUCACUAGCUGUGUGUGAUCAAACAUGGGCAUGUUCCCAGAUCCACUCCAAGGGAAAGGCAGGUGAGGGGUGCUCGUAAGUUCCAAAGCCUGCUGUCAGUCAAAUAACAAUCAUGUAUUUAGAUCAGGUGAGACUGGGUGUGAUCCAGAAAAUUUGGAGGAGCCAGAAAGACAGCCUGAAAUCUGAAGGUCCUUAUUCGGGGUGAGAUGGGUUGGCCAGUGGAGGUACCAUAUACACAGAAGAUCUGUCAUUCUUUUAUGAAUCCAUCUAUCUGUCUUUCUUCUUGAAACUCUUGGGCCCUAAGCCCUGCAGCAGCUGCCUGACCACACGAGCUAGAGGUGGGGUGUGGGUGGCACGUAAGGUAGUGUUAUAAGGGGGUGUAAUAAGGACGGGGGUAGCUGCUGCCCUACAGACAGACCAGGCAGUGGGAGUGGACACAGAACACCGGCAGUUGGGACCGCAGGGUCUGUUAAUUCGAGAGAGUAAGGGGCAGCGUGGGGUGGGUCGGUGAGGGAUCGUCACACCUGAGUGCGUCAGAAUCCCCUGGAGGGCUUGUUAACACCCAGGCCGCCGGGCGCCACCCCGAGUUUCUGAUUCACUGGGUCACGGAUGGGCCCGACAAGUGAAUCUCUAACAAGACCCCAGGCGAUGCUUAUGCUGCUGGUCUGGGGUACCACAUUUUAAGAACCACUGGCUUGGUGGAAAAAGACAAGGCUUUGGUGUCGGCUCACAGAGUGCAGGGCUGAAAUUCCAGCACCAUCCAGCUGUGCGACAUUGGGAAGACACUGAUUUUCUCUGAGCCUCGUCUAUAAAACUAAAAAAAUCUGGGUACUUCCCUUGCAAGAUUGCAGUGAGGAUUAUAUGAGCUCAGAUAUGUUAGAAGAGGCUUCCAGCCUUUGAGUACACAGCAAGCAGUCAAUAAAUGUGAGCUCCCCUUCUGUCAAAUACUAAGGCUGAAUAAAGCCUGGUUUAAAAUCGCUAGAGAUAAAUAUGCAGCAACAAAAAACGUCUGCCAAGAACAGAGCCUGAAAGGUGGAGCCAGUUUGGGUCCUGUAGUUUCCCUCUGGUGUAACUCACAGCUGUCAAAUUUUCCCAGACAUCCCGACGGAUGCCCCAGCAAACGAGAACCUGAAUAAAGCUGGAUAAAGGGACCUCUUAUUCCUUUAGCCACUGGAUAAUGACAGAAUGGAGCAUCCACUUAGAGGCCACGUCUUAGGAGCAACGGAAGAGGCAGGGAUGGUGAGGGGAGCAGGAAGCAGGUCACGUGUACCUGCCGGACUCUUCUGUACCUGAAAACAUCCUAAGUGUCCAUGAGAUUUACUGUUCUAUGUGGUGUUCUCUGCCUACAUUUAAAGCUGAAAAAGGA